UUCUUUCCUUGUUCCUACGAUAGCACAAGAACAAAAUCCUAAAGAAGAUUUACUGAUUUUUUUUUUGUUGUUUUUCUCAGCAGACCAGAGUAGGGGUGAUCAUCUCACUGAGAAGUAUACAGUGUGAAAAGGUUUUUCAAAAACACUUCGAGAUAAAUAACAGAUGAAUUCUUAAAACUGUUAAUCUCUGCCAUCCUUAAAGAUUAACCACAGAGCAUUUUAUUCAUCUGUAAAGGGAAAACCUUAAAAUGGAUCUGAGAAGUGAAGAAAGUGAUCAUAGGAUAAAAUCAUCUCAGAUGAGAAAAUUAUGUCAAUGGCAGAAGCCUCAGCUGUCUAUGGUGCAAGACUUGUUCCAUGGAUGAACAGAACUAUGUGGACAGGGCUGAAGUCAGAGUGGGAAGAUGUAUAAAGUAAGAGAGUGAACUGAUACACAAGGAACUCAGUUCUUGCCCAUUAUUUUUCAAUGAAUGAGGUUCUUUCAUUUUGGAAUCUCAACUACAGAACACCUGUUGUUCUCUUAUGGA
RNAcentral lists this long non-coding RNA (524 nucleotides) under Castor canadensis (American beaver). RNAcentral describes it as "lncRNA (ENSCCNG00000014731.1)". The record is from RNAcentral. Lineage: Eukaryota; Metazoa; Chordata; Mammalia; Rodentia; Castoridae.